This 472-nucleotide ribosomal RNA is filed under the name uncultured organism. Its description in RNAcentral is "partial 16S ribosomal RNA". It matches the Rfam family "Bacterial small subunit ribosomal RNA", at positions 334 to 797 of the family's 1533-position model. The record is from RNAcentral.
CACUCCUGCGGGAGGCAGCAGUGGGGAAUAUUGCACAAUGGGCGCAAGCCUGAUGCAGCCAUGCCGCGUGUAUGAAGAAGGCCUUCGGGUUGUAAAGUACUUUCAGCGGGGAGGAAGGCGAUAAGGUUAAUAACCUUGUCGAUUGACGUUACCCGCAGAAGAAGCACCGGCUAACUCCGUGCCAGCAGCCGCGGUAAUACGGAGGGUGCAAGCGUUAAUCGGAAUUACUGGGCGUAAAGCGCACGCAGGCGGGCUGUCAAGUCGGAUGUGAAAUCCCCGGGCUCAACCUGGGAACUGCAUUCGAAACUGGCAGGCUAGAGUCUUGUAGAGGGGGGUAGAAUUCCAGGUGUAGCGGUGAAAUGCGUAGAGAUCUGGAGGAAUACCGGUGGCGAAGGCGGCCCCCUGGACAAAGACUGACGCUCAGGUGCGAAAGCGUGGGGAGCAAACAGGAUUAGAAACCCGAGUAGUCCCA